AUAAAGUUUUAUUCUUGCUUUGUUAUUUGUGUAAAAAAUGAUUUACAUAUAUGGGAUGAAAUUAUAUGUAUAUGGAAAGAGGUAUAUAUAUUGCUGAAUGAUUAUAUAGGUAGUGAUUAGUAUUAUACAAUCAAAUUGAUUUGGAUAUAGUUUUUUUAUUAGUAUUGGUUAAAUGCGUGCCAGCUGCUGCGGUUAGACGUGAAAUGCAAAUGAAUAUUUUUGAUUAGAAGUUAAUUGUAUUGAAUUCAAAAAAUGUAUAAUUAUGAUUUGGUGGAAUGAUUAAGUUGUAAUUUUUUUGAUAAUUAAUUUAGUGAGGCUUUGAAAUAAAAUGAUAAACUAGGAUUAGAUACCCUAUUAUUAAUUAUGUAAAUGUUUGUGAAUGGAAUAUAUCAGAGUAGUAAUAGUUAUGAUCUUGAAACUCAAAGAAUUUGGCGGUAUUUUAGUCCUUUUAGAGGAAUCUGUCCUGUAAUUGAUAAUACACGAUUUAUUUAACUUAAUCUUGUUUACAGUUUAUAUACCGCCGUCGGUAAGAUUAUCUUAAGGAGAGAAUAAAAUUUCAUUAUAUUUUAUUAUAUAUUAUGUCAGGUCAAGGUGUAGCUGAUGAUUAAGAAGAGAUGGAUUACAAUAAAACUAUUUUGAUGGAUAAUAAUUUGAAAAUUUAUUUGAAAGUGGAUUUAAUUGUAAAUGAAUAUAAAUUGAUUUAUUGAUUUGGGCUCUAGAAUGUGUACAUAUCGCCCGUCGCUCUCGUUUUAAGAUGAGAUAAGUCGUAACAUAGUAGAUGUACCGGAAGGUGUAUCUGGAAUGG
RNAcentral lists this non-coding RNA (805 nucleotides) under Velarifictorus hemelytrus. The record is from RNAcentral. Lineage: Eukaryota; Metazoa; Arthropoda; Insecta; Orthoptera; Gryllidae.